This 319-nucleotide unclassified non-coding RNA is filed under the name Hevea brasiliensis (rubber tree). The record is from RNAcentral. Lineage: Eukaryota; Viridiplantae; Streptophyta; Magnoliopsida; Malpighiales; Euphorbiaceae.
CUUUGGGGUUUAUCUUCUUUUGCCCUCUCUCCCAUUCAUGCUCUCCUCUCCUCGGAUAUUCAAUUUCUAUGAUUCUUCAUUUUACUAGUGCUAGUUCUCGGGUUUGUGCACGCAACAGACCAUAGCAAAGUGGCAUCAAAUAAGGAAAUUUGCACAAGAUUUUCUAAGAUAAAUUGUUUCAACCCAAGCACAGGACAGAUAUUCAUGCAUAAGGACAAUAAAUGAGAACGAGCAUGUGCACAGGACUGAUAUUCAUGCGUAGGUAUAAGGACAAUAAAUGAGGGAGAAUGUGUGCGCAUUUGUGCCAUCGCGUCGUUAU